GAGUUUGAUCGUGGCUCAGAUUGAACGCUGGCGGCAUGCCUUACACAUGCAAGUCGAACGGUAACAGGUCUUCGGAUGCUGACGAGUGGCGAACGGGUGAGUAAUACAUCGGAACGUGCCCAGACGUGGGGGAUAACGAGGCGAAAGCUUUGCUAAUACCGCAUACGAUCUAAGGAUGAAAGCAGGGACCGCAAGGCCUUGCGCGUUUGGAGCGGCCGAUGGCAGAUUAGGUAGUUGGUGGGAUAAAAGCUUACCAAGCCGACGAUCUGUAGCUGGUCUGAGAGGACGACCAGCCACACUGGGACUGAGACACGGCCCAGACUCCUACGGGAGGCAGCAGUGGGGAAUUUUGGACAAUGGGCGAAAGCCUGAUCCAGCAAUGCCGCGUGCAGGAUGAAGGCCUUCGGUUGUAAC
RNAcentral lists this ribosomal RNA (414 nucleotides) under uncultured microorganism. RNAcentral describes it as "bacterial SSU rRNA". It matches the Rfam family "Bacterial small subunit ribosomal RNA", at positions 9 to 429 of the family's 1533-position model. The record is from RNAcentral.